Hyla sarda is the source of this 605-nucleotide long non-coding RNA. RefSeq lists it as uncharacterized. The transcript is spliced from 3 exons. The record is from RefSeq and is a predicted model, not a curated record. NCBI's taxonomy places the organism in Eukaryota, Metazoa, Chordata, Amphibia, Anura, Hylidae.
AUGGCGGUCAGUAAGAGAGGGUUUUAAAAGAUACUGUACGAAAGAGGAACAGGCGUCAAAAAGUAGUUCUGGUGCCUCCAAACUCACAGUGUACAUGCACGAAAAUAGUCUCCAAUUUCUUCGAAAAUGCUUCAAACUUUGAAAGUGGAAAGUGUCUCCAAGUGCAGUCACAAAAACCAUCAAGAGCUACAAAGAUACUGGCUGACAUGCGGAGUGCCCCAGGAAAGGAAGACCAAGAGUCACGUCUGCUGCGGAGGAUAAAGAGACAAUGACCCCAAACACCUCCAGGCUGUGUAAGGACUAUGUGACCAAGAAGGAGAGUGAUGGGUGCUGCGCCAGAUGACCUGGCCUCCACAGUCACCGGACCUGAACCCAAUCCAGAUGGUUUGGGGUGAGCUGGACCGCAGAGUGAAGGCAAAAAGGGCCAACAAGUGCUAAGCAUCAUGGGAACUCCUUCCAGACUGUUGGAAGACCAUUUCAGGUGACUACCUCUUGAAGCUCAUCAGGAGAAUCCAAGAGUCUGCAAAGCAGGAAUCAAAGCAAAAGGAAGAACCUGGAAUAUGACAGAUUCUCACACUUAUUGUUAUGUAUAUAAUUCCACAUGU